AUCAAUAAAAAUAUGCAUAUAAUGAUAUUUGAACCACGCCAAUUGGAUAAAUGAAACAUUAAAUUUACCACUCAACCAAAGCUUCAUUUUAAUGUAUUUUAUAUAUUUCUAUUUUAAUAUGCACAAUUUAUUAUCUCCAUUAGUGGUAUAUCUAUACUAUUUAUCAAGUGUUUUACUAAGUGACAAACACUUUCUAGGUCUACAA
This 205-nucleotide long non-coding RNA is filed under the name Gossypium barbadense (sea-island cotton). RNAcentral's name for it is "long non-coding RNA (GBAR_LNC016417)". The record is from RNAcentral. Lineage: Eukaryota; Viridiplantae; Streptophyta; Magnoliopsida; Malvales; Malvaceae.